AUAAUGCAAGUCGAGCGGACAGAUGGGAGCUUGCUCCCUGAAGUCAGCGGCGGACGGGUGAGUAACACGUGGGCAACCUGCCUGUAAGACUGGGAUAACUCCGGGAAACCGGGGCUAAUACCGGAUAAUUCUUUCCCUCACAUGAGGGAAAGCUGAAAGAUGGUUUCGGCUAUCACUUACAGAUGGGCCCGCGGCGCAUUAGCUAGUUGGUGAGGUAACGGCUCACCAAGGCAACGAUGCGUAGCCGACCUGAGAGGGUGAUCGGCCACACUGGGACUGAGACACGGCCCAGACUCCUACGGGAGGCAGCAGUAGGGAAUCUUCCGCAAUGGACGAAAGUCUGACGGAGCAACGCCGCGUGAGUGAUGAAGGUUUUCGGAUCGUAAAACUCUGUUGUUAGGGAAGAACAAGUACCGGAGUAACUGCCGGUACCUUGACGGUACCUAACCAGAAAGCCACGGCUAACUACGUGCCAGCAGCCGCGGUAAUACGUAGGUGGCAAGCGUUGUCCGGAAUUAUUGGGCGUAAAGCGCGCGCAGGCGGUUCCUUAAGUCUGAUGUGAAAGCCCCCGGCUCAACCGGGGAGGGUCAUUGGAAACUGGGGAACUUGAGUGCAGAAGAGAAGAGUGAAUUCCACGUGUAGCGGUGAAAUGCGUAGAGAUGUGGAGGAACACCAGUGGCGAAGCGACUCUUUGGUCUGUAACUGACGCUGAGGCGCGAAGCGUGGGAGCAAACAGAUUAGAUACCCUGUAGUCCACGCCGUAACGAUGAUGCUAGUGUUAGAAGGGUU
Molecule: ribosomal RNA, 789 nt
Filed under: Cytobacillus firmus
Lineage: Bacteria; Bacillati; Bacillota; Bacilli; Caryophanales; Bacillaceae
Description: bacterial SSU rRNA
Rfam family: Bacterial small subunit ribosomal RNA
Source: RNAcentral